RNAcentral lists this ribosomal RNA (217 nucleotides) under uncultured bacterium. RNAcentral describes it as "partial 16S ribosomal RNA". It matches the Rfam family "Bacterial small subunit ribosomal RNA", at positions 32 to 240 of the family's 1533-position model. The record is from RNAcentral.
AAUCAACGCUGGCGGCGUGCCUAACACAUGCAAGUCGAACGCGAAAGUUCCUUCGGGGAUGAGUAGAGUGGCGUCCGGGUGAGUAACGCGUGGGUAAUCUGCCUUUGGGUGGGGGAUAACUCGAGGGAAACUUGGGCGUAAUACCGCAUAAUGCAGCGGCUCGACAUCGAGACAGUUGUUAAAGCAGCAAUGCGCCUGAAGAGGAGCCUGCGUCUGA